RNAcentral lists this microRNA precursor (74 nucleotides) under Canis lupus familiaris (dog). RNAcentral's name for it is "mir-8799 microRNA precursor family". It matches the Rfam family "mir-8799 microRNA precursor family". The record is from Rfam by way of RNAcentral. Lineage: Eukaryota; Metazoa; Chordata; Mammalia; Carnivora; Canidae. RNAcentral also lists the same sequence under 1 other name.
CGGGGGAGGCCAGAUCCUGGGCUGUGUCCCGGCGCCUGCGCUGUUGGAUUCGUGCUCCUGCCCCGCAGCCCCCU